RNAcentral lists this long non-coding RNA (382 nucleotides) under Sorghum bicolor (sorghum). Its description in RNAcentral is "long non-coding RNA (SBIC_LNC015101)". The record is from RNAcentral. Lineage: Eukaryota; Viridiplantae; Streptophyta; Magnoliopsida; Poales; Poaceae.
CAAAUCGGUGAAGGAAUAUGUCAAAUGAGCCAUAUUUCCUGACCGCAUCCAGCUUGGCGCAAAAUGACAACAAUGGAGCUGAACCUGGUGUUGCUCCGCCUGAUGCUCGGACUGACUUGACAGGGGGAUCUACAUCGAGAUCGGAGAUAGAUCCUGUCCCCCUCGUGUGGACGGCGUCGGCUCUAUCCUCAUCUGCCGCAUCGGGGACUCUCGGAUCUUCUACGCCUUCAUCUGCCGAGACUGCUGCCUCCUCUUAGUCGUCAUCUGCCCUAUCAGAUUCGACCAGCUCCAACCCACGUGGAUCUUCUGCGGGUGCUCCCGUGGACUCUGUGUUGCCUGAUACUUCUUCACCACCAGUUCGUGACUCUUCCUCACCGCCAGC